GGACAGGUGGCAGAGUGGUCGAAUGCGCACGCUUGGAAAGCGUGUUUACCGCAAGGUAACGAGGGUUCGAAUCCCUCCCUGUCCG
Molecule: transfer RNA, 85 nt
Filed under: Verrucomicrobiales bacterium
Lineage: Bacteria; Pseudomonadati; Verrucomicrobiota; Verrucomicrobiia; Verrucomicrobiales
Also listed under: 1 other name
Description: tRNA-Ser
Rfam family: tRNA
About the family: Transfer RNA (tRNA) molecules are approximately 80 nucleotides in length.
Source: RNAcentral